GAGAAGCUUGCUGGAGGUAUCAGAAGUGCGAAUGCUGACAUGAGUAACGACAAUGGGUGUGAAAAACACCCACGCCGAAAGACCAAGGUUUCCUGCGCAACGUUAAUCGACGCAGGGUUAGUCGGUCCCUAAGGCGAGGCUGAAAAGCGUAGUCGAUGGAAAACAGGUUAAUAUUCCUGUACUUCUGGUUAUUGCGAUGGAGGGACGGAGAAGGCUAGGCCAGCUUGGCGUUGGUUGUCCAAGUUUAAGGUGGUAGGCUGAAAUCUUAGGUAAAUCCGGGGUUUCAAGGCCGAGAGCUGAUGACGAGUUACCCUCUGGGUGACGAAGUGGUUGAUGCCAUGCUUCCAAGAAAAGCUUCUAAGCUUCAGAUAACCAGGAACCGUACCCCAAACCGACACAGGUGGUUGGGUAGAGAAUACCAAGGCGCUUGAGAGAACUCGGGUGAAGGAACUAGGCAAAAUG
Molecule: ribosomal RNA, 462 nt
Filed under: Mesorhizobium sp.
Lineage: Bacteria; Pseudomonadati; Pseudomonadota; Alphaproteobacteria; Hyphomicrobiales; Phyllobacteriaceae
Description: partial 23S ribosomal RNA
Rfam family: Bacterial large subunit ribosomal RNA
Source: RNAcentral